This is a long non-coding RNA of Macaca mulatta (Rhesus monkey), 2979 nucleotides long. RefSeq lists it as uncharacterized. Lineage: Eukaryota; Metazoa; Chordata; Mammalia; Primates; Cercopithecidae. The record is from RefSeq and is a predicted model, not a curated record.
UCAAAUGGUAGAUAACCUUUAGUUCUUUAAGGAAUCUCCAUACUGUUUUCCAUAGUGGUUGUAACUGCAGAAGCAUAUGCUCAUCGAGAACAUGGCUUCAGAUUCCUCAAUAGUUGAUGAAAUAUUGGGGUGGGAUGGGUUUGUGUGCCCAUGGGUGCUCAAGCCUCCUUACAUGGCUAAUGCAGAUGGACAUAGAGCUUGAGGCAGCCUGGUCUCUUUUCCUGAGCUGGCUGAUUUCAAUACAAUGAACCAAGGUCUCUGAUCUUGAAGCUGGUCCCGCCAGACACCCCACCUUCAGCCACCAUCUGCUGUGUGCCUCCUAUAUCCUGUGGGGCCCAUGGCAACCCGCAUGACAGUGAGGGGGCACAAGGCACUGGACCUGUGGGCCUGGGGAAGACAAAAACACUUUUCUGUUUCUCCCAAACUUUCAAGUGUGUUGUCAGGUAUUUAAUUUUGAUUAUGACUGAGAUGAUAUGUUCAUGUAUUUACAGCUAUUUAAAUAUAAUAUUUUUUGCAAACUGUGGGAUAAUGUCUUUCACUUUUUUUUUCAUUUUUCCUCCUCAUCUGUGCACAGAUGGGUGGCCGACUCUGGAGCCCAGCCUGUCGCUUCCCAGUCUGGUGGUGAAUCCUCCAUAGUCUAGUGUGGAGGAAAAGUUAAAUAUUAAAUUUGAACUUAAUUGAACCUGGACACAAACAAUGGUCACCAAGUCCUGGAACAGCUUGUAUGAGCCCCUUGAGGCAUUCAUCCAGAGCUGUUUCAGAGAAAUCUCUAUUUCAAUCUAUUCCUAUACAUUCGUUAUUGUAAAACAAUAGAGAAGCACAAAAACAAGUUGACCUUUUUGUGUUCCUUGAGCCCAGUAGUGAAAGGCCCUUGUGACUAAGCCCCAUGCCUAAAAACUCAUUACAAAAGAGCUAGGGUCCCAGAUUGCACCAAAGCUUCGUGAGACCUCUCCUCAUCUGCAUGGACGAGUGGCCGGCUCUGGAGCCCAGGUUGUUUCUUCCCAGUCUGGUGGUGUAAAUAUAUACAGUCUGGAAUAACCUAUCUAUUAAUGGUCAGCACCUGUGUCUUUGUGUCUGAGGCCAAGAAUAAAUUCAUCACCUUGGUAGCCACUGCUGCAACUGAAGUCAACCACAAUCAAUGAUGGCUGUAUGUUGAGUUGCCGGAGGCCGCCUGGAAUGUGUUACCUUGCAGAAUUGUCCCUGACAACAUUUCUGAAUGGCUAUGUAGUUACCAAUAGGGCCACAACAACAACACUCACAAUCCAAUCUGGACUUCUUUGACCACAUUAAGCAAUCUAUCUUUGCCAAGUCAGACAAAAGAUGAACUCCACCCUCACCUUGCGUCGAAAGCCUUGGUAUCCUGCCCAAUAUUCCUGGAAUGGUACCUACUGAAAACCUGCUAUGCUGGUGGCUGGAUUCCAUACAGCCCUUGCUUUGUCUGGAGGCGUUAAAUGGCUCCUCUAAUGUUUCUCUGGGGUUUCUCCAGACAUUUGUCAACACAUACUCCCAAUCAACAACAUUGCCCCCAGUGAAUCACAAUCUCUUUCCUAUUUUAAUAAGACAUUAGUACAUUAUUAUUACAGUAGCUCCAUUACUGUCCCCUGGCGGGCCCUCUGAGUAUGCAGAUCCUGUGGAUGGUGAUACCAGUCCCUGCAUUGGAUGGGGAGAUACACUUGGGGUUGGCCAUUUAUUACAUUUACCACCCAGGUUAAUAUUCCCCUCCCCAGUAAUCUUGAUGCUUACAAACACUGCUGGUUACAAAUACGCUGGCCUCCCUGGUGGUGGUACCCUAUCACAGUAUUCUCCCCUGCUGCUGGUACAAUCCUGCUUCAGCAACAGAUUAAAAUAUUUACCUUACAUGUAGAAAAAGCUCUUAAUGAUAGUAGCACUGGACUUAUGUUGUUAUCAGAUGAAUUUUCUCAGCUGAGUACUAUUGUGUUGCAAAAUCAAAUGGCAUUAAAUAUACUUACGGCAGCCCAAGGAGGGAUUUGCACCUUACCGCAUACUGAAUGUUGUGUGUAUAUCCCUGGCAGUUCUCACAAUAUGACUCUCCUUGCAAAGCCAUGCUGGGUGUGGUUUUUAUUAAUUGUGCUUUUAAUUCUCACGUGCUUACCCUUGAUCUGUAAUCUAUAUCAAUUAUGCAUUCCCCAUGAAUCUGUGAGGGUAUUUUCCUACAUUUGAGUAUCCAAGCGAGGUCAAAUGUGGAGGAAAUGUUAAAUAUCAAAUUUGAACUAAAUUAAACGUGGACACAAACAAUGGUCACCAAGUCCCGGCACAGGUUGUGUGAGCCCCUUGAGGCAUUCAUCCAGUGCUGUUUCAGAAAAAAAUCUCUAUUCCAAUCUAUUCCUAUACGUUAGUUAUUGAAAAACAAUAGUCACAAAAACAAGUUAACAUUUUUGUGUUCCUUGAGCCCAGUCGCAAAUGGCCCUCAGGACAGGGCCUCAUGCCAAACAACUUGUUACAAAAAGAGAUUCCACGACCACACCAAGGCUUCAAGAAACCUCUGCUUAUUUGUGUACGGACUUGGCUGGGAGCCCAGGUUGUUGCUUCCUGGUGUGGUGACGAAUCCUCCCUAGUCUGAUGAGUGUAAAUAUAUCUGACCCUUUUGAACAAGGUUCUUUGCUAUUGCUUUAUGACCCCACCUCCUACCUCCAGCGAAAAUGUCCUUGGCACUGUCUCUUCCCAUCAGAGAGACACCACUGAUUGUGGUGUGAUGGGACACAUGUUCCUGGUGGUGGCACCAGCAUAUAUUAGAUGUGCUUGGGCUGAACACCAAAGAGCUACGACAGGCUGUUACAUAGAAUAUUAUGAGGACUACAUAUUUUUAAAUAGAGUGAACUAUGGACCACAUAGUUUGGUUUUGUACAUUUACUUAUAUAUUUUCCCUUGUCCCUUUCCCAUUGCAAUUUGCUUAUGAUAUCAAUUUGCUUAUUAUAUCUGCAUUGCCAUUUACGUGGGAUAAAGCUUGUUUACACUUAA